CACGUAGGGGGCAAGCGUUGUCCGGAUUUAUUGGGCGUAAAGAGCUCGUAGGUGGCUGAGUAAGUCGGAUGUUAAAUCCCCAGGCUCAACCUGGGACACCACCCGAUACUGCUCUGGCUAGAGUCCGGUAGGGGAGCGUGGAAUUCCUGGUGUAGCGGUGAAAUGCGUUGAUAUCAGGAGGAACACCCAUGGCGAAGGCAGCUAACUGGGCAUUAUCUGACGCUGAGGCGCGAAAGCGUGGGUAGCAAACAGG
This 253-nucleotide ribosomal RNA is filed under the name uncultured bacterium. RNAcentral's name for it is "partial 16S ribosomal RNA". It matches the Rfam family "Bacterial small subunit ribosomal RNA", at positions 524 to 776 of the family's 1533-position model. The record is from RNAcentral.